AAGAAGGAAAUGAAAUAACUAGGUUAUUAAACCUAGUUAUAUGCUUGGUUAAAACAAAUAAGGAUAGGAAAUUAAGUUAAUUAUGAACAAAUGACAAACUUGAGGGGUUGAUUUGGAAAAGAUGGAAAGAUGAAAUAUAAAAUAAAAAUAAAAACUCAAAAACACACACUGAGUGUGUGUGGGGUGCGUACGAUCGCACAGGAGAAGAGGCAGAAAGGGGCACAAACCCUAAUUCAAGAUAAACCUUCAAAUUGAAAGGGGAAACUGGCUCUAAUCGGAUGCAUGGACCUAGAUUCUUAAUCAUCUAGACUUUCUACACAUGAGCUCGACUCUUGACAAACUAUAUGGGAUCUUGGAGAAGAAUGGGUUAAAUGGGUCAAGUACGCAAAGAAGCUCUAAUGGACACAAAGUAAGUAAGCUUACAUCUUUUGUAGAAUAUGAAUUUGUUUUUAUGAACUAUAAAUAUGAUAAAAUCGAAAUGCGGUUUCCGACGCGAUAUGGUACAUGUCGGAAUAUAUAUAAUCGAUAAAAACCAUGGUUAAUAGUAAAAAAGGGCAAAUUGGUAAUUUAGUCAUGAAUGACUAAGAUUUAAUGAGUUUUCGUUAAGGUUACCUUAUAGUGUAACUAAUAAAAGAAAUAGCGGGGUAAAAUCCGAAAUGGGUCGUAUGCGUAAAUUUGAAAUUAAAAUAUCAAGUUUUGUAAACAUCAAUAUUUGGUCAGUCAGACCACACGGGCCAAAUGGUAGUAAUAAUACCAUUUGACAAAUUCGACUAAUGUUUGGUUGGCAAGUCACUUGUUCAUAGGAACGAAUAGCAAUUUGGAUAAUUGCGUCGCCAUAAAGUUUCAGCUAAUAAAGUGAGGUAUAAAAACGGGUCUAUGCGUUGACUCGAGCCAGGUACGCGACGAAACGUUUUGUUGUUGUUAAUUGUUAAUACGUAAAUCUUAUAUAUUGAUGAUAUAUGAAAGUUCGAGAUGUAAAAAUGUUUGAUUUGUCUAUAAUAAGGAUUUAUGAUAGACAAAUCAACGGGUUGAGCAAUAAUAGGUGCAAACCGGGUAAAUGGGUGCACAAUUCCAUAAGUGCUAAGCCCGGGGUUAUGGGUAAAGAAACAUUAAACACACAAGCCGGUAGUCGAAGCGAGAAUGCGAGUAGAAUAAAGGAUUUGGGGACGGGUUGUCAAAUUGAGUAUUAAGUCCCAUGCAUAGGAAUGUGAUUGAAAUAGGAUUUAUUGCUUAUUAGCGAACUAACCUCGUGUAUGUGUUUAUACAGUUUAAAUCAGUUGAAGUAAUAAGUUACUAAACCAUUGUCUUGAGUAUGAAAUGAGAAUGCAGGUAUUCUUUUAACGUUAUUAUCAGGGUUAAAGAAAUUGGAAUGCACGAAUGUACACGAAAAGCUUAUUCGUGGGGAUUAGUAUGGGAAGAAGGAACGCGGACUGGCUAUUGAUUACAUAGGUCUAGUUUAGGAAUGAUAUCAUUGUAUCUAACCGAUGUAUAUGUAUGUGGUGAAUGCAGGUGGCGUGGACAUAGCAUCAUUACGAAGAAAAGAAGGUUUGAAGGUCGAGUCAAGAGCGAGGGUUGUACGGGAAGGAUCAGUCACAUAAUUUGACAAAAAAAUAUAUAUAUAUAUAUAGGUCUUGAAGUAUUAAUAUAACGGGACGUGGUAAAUUCCUUUUUAAUGAGUGUAUGAAUUUUUGUCUUGGAACCUUCUUGUAAGUAUUAUGUCUAGUAAAGAACGAAAUUUUUGGGCUCUUA
Molecule: long non-coding RNA, 1749 nt
Organism: Helianthus annuus (common sunflower)
Lineage: Eukaryota; Viridiplantae; Streptophyta; Magnoliopsida; Asterales; Asteraceae
Exons: 2
Source: RefSeq, a predicted model, not a curated record